This 3432-nucleotide long non-coding RNA is filed under the name Oryza brachyantha (malo sina). RNAcentral describes it as "long non-coding RNA (OBRA_LNC000151)". The record is from RNAcentral. Lineage: Eukaryota; Viridiplantae; Streptophyta; Magnoliopsida; Poales; Poaceae.
GUAAUAAUUGAUUAUAGAUUUAUGACGGUGUCUCCUUUUUUACAAGCUUGUGACAAACUGUACAUAUAUAAAUCACAAGAACAUUAAUUGAUUUGUGGUACAAUCGGUAUCUUAUGACACCGCAGAUAAGAAUGUUGACAUGUGGUCAACCUAACAAAUUAGGUACCUCUGCUGACAUAUCAACUACUACCUCUGUUUCACGUGGAUGCUCGUAAAUCUAAUUAUAUACAAACCAUGUAUAUUGCAAUAUUUCAGAUGAAUCUUAACAUAGCCAAAAUAUCUUACAGUAUGAAACAGAGGGUGUAUAAUUGAACCCAACUGAAUUGAAGAAAAUUAAGAAAAACAAUUGCUAUUAGCAUUUGGUAUCCCUCCGUGUCUACCAAAGUCUGUUUUCCGCCUUUCGGUUCAGCUGCAUUUUGAUAGGUUAAAAACUUAAAAUCACCAGGUAGUCAAGCAGUGACUCUAGUACAGUUCUUAGAGAUGACAACAUUCACGUGAAAAGCAAAGUAAUUUCAGGGUGUUCAACAAUUCAAUUAUUAAACUAAUUAAACCAUAUAGUAGAACAACGUUCAUGUGAAAAUGCAAACUAAUUUUAAAAGACAAACUUACAAUCAACAUAUAGGAAAGCCACUUCAUUCACCAUUAGUGUUCAACAAUCCAAUUAUUAGUUAUUCCCUUUUUUUUUCAUUUUGAGAUUAAAAACUUAAGUUAGGACUCAUUAUCCUAUUAACCCCCCUAUAUAUGCAUGUACUUACUGAAAAUAGUACAGAAAGAAUCCAUGUGUAAACUAUUAUAAACCGGUGCUGAACUAAUUUUUCAACUUCAGAGAACUAUACAUUCUCCUAGCAGCACUUUAAACUUUUACUAGUUCAUUGUAUAUGGGCUAUUAUCAAACCCAACAAUAGAUUUCUGACUAAUCACAAGAACCUGAUCGUAAACUUUAGUUACACAUAUGAGCUUACUAUUUUACUCCCUCCGUUUCACAAUGUAAGUCUUUUGCCUAGAUUUAUAGGGAUGCUAAUGAAUCUAGACACAUAUAUAAAUUAUAUACAUUUAUCCAUGAAUGAAUCUAGGCAAGCCUAGAAAGACUUACAAUAUGAACGGAGGUAGUAAUAGUUUGCCACAAUGGCCCGAUCUUUGUCACUUGAGAAUAUCAAAUUUUCAUGAAAAGAAUAUUAAACAACCAUGUAAAAUGGAUAUUAGGCUAUUAUUGAAGCUUUCUUUAGGAGCUUUCUAAGAUACUAUAAAAUUAUGUAGUGAACUUUUACAACAUUUCAGGGACAGCUACACGAAUUUCCAGUCCACGUUAUACGCAACCCACUGAAAAUAUGUGCACCAAAAUAAAACAAUGUGAAAACCCAGCUUGCGAAACAUUUCUACUUGAUGAAACGCAAAAAUCAAUGCCAGAGCACAAUUUGCUAUUGGUGCUAGUAUCAACUCUAUCAUUAAAUUCCAUUCAGCGGUGCAUAUAUCUAAACUUGAAUAUGUAGAAAUGCUUAACAUGACCCUUAUUGUGAACAUGUACAAGAACCACCUCAGGGAUGUGGAAUCGAGCUCUGUCGUGAAGGCUUUAGCCAAGUAGGUGUUCAUCUCGGUGACCCGUGUUGGAGGAUGGUUCACCACAGUCUCCCAUGUCCUGCAAGAUUGAGCAUUUUUGUUUUGAUCAAUCACCUAGCUGCUAUGAGGAAAUGCUUAUAAACGUAAACUACGAUAUGCAUAUGCAAACACAUAUAAAGGUUGAUUAAAUUCUUUUUGGAAUGUCUCGAGCAAUUAUAAGUGUAGGUGAGUUUGCUGUAAUAGUUGCCUAGCACCUACUGUGUUCGUUUUCAUGUAAAUAUCAUCGACCAAAAAAUGGAAACAGGAAUUCAUAAAUUUCCAUCCAAAUCGUGACUUUUGGAUACUGCGUGCGUACAUUCUUGAUGGAACACUUAACUUUCAAUCCAAGAGCUGAAUAUGAUUAGCAUCCAUGGCAAAGAGGAUAAAAAUGGAUCAUAUAUCCCACAAAAACCAUCUUCUCAUAUAAUGACACUGAUAUUAGGUAGGUCUCGUUGGUUGAUUUAUUCGGUUAGACACCGGAUAAAAGAAAUUAGAGAUAGAGACCGGUUUAAGAAAUUCGGAAUCCUCCUUAACCGUUUUUCUACCGUGUCCUACUCCUACUCAAACAAGAACUUCGUGUCCUACUCUGACAAGAAAAGAAGAGAUAGAAUAGGAGUUUAUUUCGGUGAUCGGUAGAUUCAAAACUCCCUACUAAAUUCGAGAUUACCCGAGCCCUACCAGUGCCAUAUAAAUAGAGGUACCAGUGCCAUAUAAAUAGAGGGACAGAGGAGGAGGGGACGCCCAAGUCGUCUGUUCCAAAAUCAAAACCCUAAUCACCCGAUCGAUUAGGCACCGGAAGGGGGUCGUUACGUGAUCUCAAAGAAGGCGCAGACGCAAAUUCAAGAAGGGAAGCCCUACUGCUACACCUACGCCGUCCACGCCUACUGCGAGGGAGAACAGAGAAGAAGAGAGGAAAGAACAGAGCAAGAAGAUCAAUUCGAAUUCGAUCCAUGCUUCUCAAACAGGUCAGAAUAUUCAAUCUUAUUUUCGCGUUAGCAGAGGUGAUCAAUAUUAGGCUAAGGUUAGAAAUUAACGUUGGAUAAAAUAACCCAACAUUGUGGUAUCAGAGCUUAACUUAGCCUUAAUUGGUCCCAUCAUCCCUGGGAGAAGCCAUCUAAUCUUUGAAUUGAUCCACUUUUGGUGCAAAGAAUUUAUUUCAGAUCGUAUUUUAUUUUUUAGGGUUCAUAUUCACUGUUCCCACACUGUUCACGCACUGUUUAGAUUCAAUUUCUGUUGUAAUUUGUCAAAUUUCACUCUCAAUCAGUACUAGCAGCAGAAGGAUUUGCAUUUAUUUUGCGCAAAAUUCGUCCAAAAAAAACACUCAGCUGCGAAACCCAAAUUUCAAGAAAAUCCCCAAAUUCCCCGAUGAAUAGGAACCCUAGAAUCCCAAAACAUUCAAACUUUGAUUCGGAUCGGAUUAGUUUAUUACCGAUUUGAAGUAGCAACCGCAUCAGCGUCGUCGUGCGGGCAUCAGUGCCGCCCGCACUCGCCGGCGUGCGGGCUCGUCUCCUCCCUCCAUGGCCACGCGGCUUCGCCCCCUCGGUGCUGCGUCUCCGGCUCACCGAAUGCCGCCCUCGCCGCCGCUUCUUCCCGACGCUGUCGGCGCAGCAGCCGCUGUCGCCGUCGCCGCCUUACCGCCGUCGGUGCGCGGUCGAUCCAGCCCGCUGCCGCCGCAAGCUGGGGCCGGCGCCGCCUCCACGGGCUAGCACGACCUCCUGUCUUUCUCUUGGCGCUAGCCAUCGCCGUCGCUGCCCACCGCCCGCCGCCGGCACGCCGUCGAUCUAGCCCUCCGCCGCCGUUAUUAUUAUUAUUAUUUUUUGCUAGGGUUUAAGUUUU